GACGAACGCUGGCGGCGUGCCUAAUACAUGCAAGUAGAACGCUGAAACUUGGUGCUUGCACCGAGCGGAUGAGUUGCGAACGGGUGAGUAACGCGUAGGUAACCUGCCUGGUAGCGGGGGAUAACUAUUGGAAACGAUAGCUAAUACCGCAUAAGAGUAGAUGUUGCAUGACAUUUGCUUAAAAGGUGCAAUUGCACCACUACCAGAUGGACCUGCGUUGUAUUAGCUAGUUGGCGGGGUAACGGCUCACCAAGGCGACGAUACAUAGCCGACCUGAGAGGGUGAUCGGCCACACUGGGACUGAGACACGGCCCAGACUCCUACGGGAGGCAGCAGUAGGGGAUCUUCGGCAAUGGACGGAAGUCUGACCGAGCAACGCCGCGUGAGUGAAGAAGGUUUUCGGAUCGUAAAGCUCUGUUGUAAGAGAAGAACGAGUGUGAGAGUGGAAAGUUCACACUGUGACGGUAUCUUACCAGAAAGGGACGGCUAACUACGUG
This 497-nucleotide ribosomal RNA is filed under the name uncultured bacterium. RNAcentral's name for it is "partial 16S ribosomal RNA". It matches the Rfam family "Bacterial small subunit ribosomal RNA", at positions 28 to 507 of the family's 1533-position model. The record is from RNAcentral.